CCUACGGGAGGCAGCAGUGGGGAAUAUUGCACAAUGGGCGAAAGCCUGAUGCAGCAACGCCGCGUGAGCGAUGAAGGCCUUCGGGUCGUAAAGCUCUGUCCUCAAGGAAGAUAAUGACGGCACUUGAGGAGGAAGCCCCGGCUAACUACGUUCCAGCAGCCGCGGUACUACGUAGGGAGCUAGCGUUAUCCGGAAUUACUGGGCGUAAAGGGGGCGUAGGUGGUUUCUUAAGUCAGAGGUGAAAGGCUACGGCCCAACCGUAGUAAGCCUUUGAAACUGGGGAACGUGAGUGCAGGAGAGGAGAGUGGAAUUCCUAGUGUAGCGGUGAAAUGCGUAGAUAUUAGGAGGAACACCAGUUGCGAAGGCGGCUCUCUGGACUGUGACUGACGCUGAGGCACGAAAGCGUGGGGAGCAAACAGGAUUAGAUACCCGAGUAGUC
This 439-nucleotide ribosomal RNA is filed under the name uncultured bacterium. Its description in RNAcentral is "partial 16S ribosomal RNA". It matches the Rfam family "Bacterial small subunit ribosomal RNA", at positions 338 to 795 of the family's 1533-position model. The record is from RNAcentral.